AUUGAACGCUGGCGGCAUGCCUUACACAUGCAAGUCGAACGGCAGCACGGGGCAACCUGGUGGCGAGUGGCGAACGGGUGAGUAAUGCAUCGGAACGUGCCAUUGAGUGGGGGAUAACGUAGCGAAAGUUGCGCUAAUACCGCAUAUUCUGUGAGCAGGAAAGCAGGGGGACCGCAAGGCCUUGCGUUCUGGGAGCGGCCGAUGUCGGAUUAGCUAGUUGGUGGGGUAAAAGCCUACCAAGGCGACGAUCCGUAGCGGGUCUGAGAGGAUGAUCCGCCACACUGGGACUGAGACACGGCCCAGACUCCUACGGGAGGCAGCAGUGGGGAAUUUUGGACAAUGGGCGGAAGCCUGAUCCAGCCAUGCCGCGUGAGUGAAGAAGGCC
RNAcentral lists this ribosomal RNA (385 nucleotides) under uncultured bacterium. RNAcentral's name for it is "bacterial SSU rRNA". It matches the Rfam family "Bacterial small subunit ribosomal RNA", at positions 29 to 416 of the family's 1533-position model. The record is from RNAcentral.